RNAcentral lists this long non-coding RNA (869 nucleotides) under Vigna radiata. RNAcentral's name for it is "long non-coding RNA (VRAD_LNC006887)". Lineage: Eukaryota; Viridiplantae; Streptophyta; Magnoliopsida; Fabales; Fabaceae. The record is from RNAcentral.
AAACCAUAAAUAUUAACACCUUCAUCCACUUUUGAACAACCAAGAACAAUUUAUCUAACUUAAUGAGAUGGUUCCUAUUAAUGUCCAUUUCUUCACUGUGCAACAACCUUUCUUGCUUUCCUUCAGACUUCAAACAUGUGCCCCUUUCCUCUUCCGCAACAUCAGUGCACCAUUUGAAGUAGUCGCAACCACCCUCUUCAGCACCACUCUGUAUAAACAACAAUCUUUUCUCAGAAACACUUCGGCAUAAUACAAACAUCAAAUAAAUCAUACCUUAUACUUCGAGCAUCCCCAAAAUUGCUUCCCACGAUUCUUCACAAUUUUAGCAGUUCGCAUCACACAUCUCAGUCCAUAGUGGCAAAUCGGUGGACACACGUUACGGUUCUCCUUCAUCCAUACAUUGCACGUCGACGAACAACAUGAAUGCUCCUUCGACAUCGUGUUCUCCUUCGACAUCGUGUUCUCCUUCACCCGCCCAUCCACNUNCGUNGCACCACAAAACACUCUAAUAAGAACCACGACAAGCUCGAACAAAGACGAAUCUCGAUCAAUUUAUGGAUGAAGGUCGCUCAAUUUAUGGAUUUAGGGUUUUCUUCCGAUUUAAGGAUUUCUUCCAAUUUAGGGAUUUCUUCAAAUCCCAAUUAAUCUCCACAAUUAUCCCCAAUUACAGAGCAGGUCAGACUUACCUAAGCACUAAUCAAGUCUUCCUUUAAUUGAAACGUGCAUUUUGAUAUGAAAUAUUUAAUUUUAAAUAUAAAAAUCAUGAAAAGCCAUGUAACAUGACCAACUUCUGCCACGUCAGGAACACUUAGUCUUGUCACCAACCCACGUUUCAAUUUUUGUAACACCGUCUAGCCAACUUAACGGCA